AGUCUCUCGUCUGACGUGGUUCGCGGCAAAUGUUCGAUACGUGCGAGGAAAAAUCCCGCGGCACUCGAGUUACGGGAACGAAAAGUUCGCGCGACUGAGGGAGCCGAUUUCCCGCCAAAGUGGAGCGAUUUCUCGAACGGUAGCGGAAACAAAACCCGAGGGGGGUUUUUUAUUCUGGCAUCAUGAACAUCGAUGAAUUUCGUGUGCGCGGCAAGGAGAUGAUCGAGUACAUCUGCGAGUAUAUCCGGACGUUGGAGGGUAAAAGGGUGACGGCGAACGUCGAUCCCGGCUAUCUAAGACACCUGAUGCCGAAAGAGGCGCCUUUCAAGCCGGAAUCAUGGGACGCCAUCAUGAGGGACGUCGACGGCAAAAUAAUGCCUGGAAUCACUCACUGGCAGCAUCCGCGAUUCCACGCCUACUUCCCGUCUGGCAAUUCCUUCCCUUCGAUCCUCGGUGAUUUGCUGUCAGACGCGAUCGGCUGCAUCGGUUUCUCGUGGGCGGCUAGUCCAGCCUGUACUGAACUUGAAACCAUCGUGUUGGAUUGGUACGCCAAAGCGAUCGACUUGCCACCUGAGUUCCUGUCCGAGCAGAAGAGCGGCGGUGGCGUGAUUCAGGGCUCGGCCUCCGAGUGCAUCCUGGUGACGAUGCUGGCGGCGCGCACGCAGGUGAUUAAGAUGCUGAAGGAGCAGGAACCCAAUACGGAGGAUUCGGCGUUCCUGCCGAAAUUGGUGGCCUACUGCUCUACGGAGUCGCACUCGUGCGUUGAGAAAGCGGCGAUGAUCAGCCUGGUGAAGUUGCGGGUGCUCGAGCCCGACGAGAAGGCCGCUUUGCGCGGUAAACGGCUCGAAUUGGCGAUCAGGGAGGACGUGGCGAAUGGUUUGGUCCCGUUUUACGUAUCCACUACUCUGGGAACUACCGGUUCCUGCGCCUUUGACGAUCUCGUGGAGAUCGGGCCUGUUUGCAAGCUCUAUCCCAACAUCUGGCUCCACGUGGACGGCGCUUACGCUGGCAACGCCUUCAUCUGUCCGGAAAUGAGGCCGUUCAUGGCCGGCAUCGAGCACGCUGAUUCCUUCAACACGAAUCCGAACAAGUGGUUGUUGGUGAAUUUCGAUUGUUCCUGUCUGUGGGUGCGUAAUCGAAUGAAGCUCACGUCGGCGUUGGUCGUCGAUCCGCUUUAUCUUCAACACGCUCGCUCCUCAGAAUCGAUCGACUAUCGUCAUUGGGGCAUCCCUCUUAGCAGACGAUUUCGGGCGUUGAAGCUCUGGUUCGUCAUGAGAUCGUACGGUAUCUGCGGUUUACAGAAGUACAUCAGGAAUCACAUAAGAUUGGCGAAGCGAUUCGAGGCGCAGAUGAAGAAAGACAGGCGCUUCGAGAUCCUGAACGACGUGCGGGUCGGCCUGGUGUGUUUUCGAUUGAGGGAGAGCGAAGAAAUGAAUCAGGAGCUGCUGGCCAACAUCAACGCAUCCGGUCGGUUGCACAUGAUACCGGCCCGUGUAAUGGGCAAAUAUAUCCUGCGUUUUUGUGUGACGAAAGAGGAUGCGACUGAAGAUGAUAUCGAUUAUGCGUUAAACGUGAUCGAGGAACAUGCCACGGAAGUGAUGCUGGCGCACUACGAGGGCACGGAAGAUGAGUACAGAGCGAAGGGUCCAAAGAGUCCGGCCGCUCUCGACAAGAAACUCGUCCGAAAGUUCAGUUUUACCAGGAGUGUUACCAGAGAUGCCUACAAGCGAUCCAUCUCCAAGUCUAGUCUACACGAUGGUGCGACGCCCAUCAUGGUCGUCGAUGACAACUCGCAGGUCGAUACCAUCGACGAUGAUCGUUUCUGCAAUAGCAGAUCGUGACGAUGUCGAUGACGGUCUCCGGCGCCGACUCGGGACGACGUAGAUGAUAAUAAUAAAAAGGGCCCUCGUUACACAGCCGUGUGAUGUGGAAUUGCGACGGCCCGCCGUCAUCAACUUUCUGAUUCCCGAAGUCGUGUUUGUCGACAAGGACCGAUUAUUAUAUCGAUGGCAUCGCCACAAGAAGCAAUAGUGAGAUGAAUCAUUGUACAUAUGUAACAUGUGAUAAUGACUGCCGAUGUAUGUACGGAUUCCAAUAAUUUUAUAUAAAAACGCUGGUGAGUAAUAUAUAAAAGCCGUGGUGAGUAAUAUAUAAAUAUCGAUCUCAAUAAAUUUAUGCGUGAAUUAACAGUGAACUAUACUGGUCUCGAUAUAUACUGUGAGUAUAUCAGAAUUUCAGCAUUUUCUCCCGUUAAUACUACAGACUACGCAAAGGGAGAUGCGUUAUAAUGCUGAUACGCAUUAAUUAUUUAUAUUCAAAAAGUACUUUAUUUUAAAUCUCUGAUAUAAAUUCAUAAUUUUCAUCUCAAUUAAAGAGAACUAAACAAUUAAUAAAAAGGUAUUGUUUAAUAUUGUUAUAAUCGAUUAUAAGUUAGCAUGACAAACAUUGUGAUAUAUCCAAUAGUCUAUUAAAAAAUCCUAAAUUAUAAAAUACAUUUGAAAAAAAUGUACAUUAGCUUUGAGACACUAUGUAGUGUAAUAAUAAAAUUAUAUUAGAAUUUUUCGGGGAGGGGAGAUCGUGGAUAUAAUCAAUAUAUUCAUAUAUAAUUGACUGGACAAUUGUAUGACCGGUAUCACAUCGAUCAAUGGAAAUAGAGUUAAAUUUAAGAAUAAUUGUAUAUAAUCCUUACGAUGUAUAAGAAACAAGCGAGAAAGUUAUGAAAUAAAGUUUGGAGAAACACAUAAUAUUUGCAAAUUCAAAGAUUUACAAUUGUAGAUUAAUAAAUUUAGUUUGAAUCUCGUCGAAUCGAUGCUGAUACAAAUAUAUAAAUGUAUAUGUAUGAACAA
Molecule: RNA transcript, 2846 nt
Organism: Nylanderia fulva
Lineage: Eukaryota; Metazoa; Arthropoda; Insecta; Hymenoptera; Formicidae
Gene name: tyrosine decarboxylase
Source: RefSeq, a predicted model, not a curated record